Molecule: long non-coding RNA, 11739 nt
Organism: Antechinus flavipes (yellow-footed antechinus)
Lineage: Eukaryota; Metazoa; Chordata; Mammalia; Dasyuromorphia; Dasyuridae
Exons: 2
Source: RefSeq, a predicted model, not a curated record
AUUAUUUCCAACCCUGUAAUAGUUCUUCCCUACUCUCUGAAAAUAGCAGCUGCACACAGAUUGAGGGAGGGCUAAAUAAACUGCAGACAUAAAUGCAAUGAAACAUUCUUGCGAGUUGAGAAGUGAUGAAUAAAGAAUUCAGAGCAGCAUGGGAAAAUGAGGGGACUGAUGGAGGAUUAGCAGAACCUGCAAAACACACACAACUACAAUAGUGUCCCAUUGCUAUGACCCAGACUGCGCCAGAAAAGCCAGGAGAAGAUGCACUUCCUUCCUUGGUUUGCUGAGACAGUGGACUAGGGUGGGGACCCCGAAGACACCGUUAGAUUCAUCUGGCCCAUUUGGAGGAACGGGGUUUUUCCUUUUUCAUUCUUUGUUAUAAAGCCACGGUUGCUGGGCUGGGAGCAGAGCGAGGCAAUAUUCAGGAAGGGGAUAUAAAAGCAAAGCAUUUUCCCACCAGAUUUUAAAAGUGCUUCCCGACCUGACACAACUGGCUUGUUGCUUUGAUGAUACUUCUGCUGGUUCUGCUUCGUGGGCCAAGAUGGGGCCAAAGACUCUGCCGGGUCCUGGGCACGUGGACAAAAACUUAACGGUGGCCCCUGCCCUUAAGGAAGGCGUGAUGGAACCAAAGUAUUUAGGAUGCACCCGAUCCCUCCCUGAGCUGGAAGGGACCUCGGAGGGCGGUUUACAGAGAAGGAGGCUGAGGUUCUGGAGAUCCAACAAGCUGCCCAAAGUCGGAUAGGGAGCCAGCCAGAGCUGGGACCUACCCUGCAACUCCUUCCAUUGCGCCAUCCUGCCCUGUCCACUUCUGCCCCAGGCUUUUUCUUCCUGGGAAGGAGUGGUCGCCCCGGGAAGGUUCAGAGAUAGUACCAAGAGCUUCGAAAGCAGCGCUUCUAAAACUUUUUCUACUCCUGACCCCAGGUAUGUAGAUAUAUGAAAUGUCAAACAUUGAAAUAAAUCAAUUUCAAGACCCCCACAUUCGGUUAAACGACCCCCUAUGGGGGUCACAGUUGAAGAAGCUGGGAUCUAAAGGACAGCCGGUAUUUUGUGUCCACGGGUCACAGAACAAGGUGGGAAUUUGGACCCGCUCCCCGCUGAAAGGAGGAAAUCAUGUCGCUGUGACAUUGGCAGGGGACAGGAGGAGGCAAAGAACGUAAACCCCAAGCGGAGGGCCAUGAAGUUCGCCUCCAGACAGGCUGCCUGGGAAUUCUCUGUGUCUGCACGCAGUAGCCCUUCAACACCGAGACUCCCCACAGUAUCAGCUAAGGGAGCAAGCAAGCCCUGCAGGGGGAGAACGUGGGGCCCGGAGGAACGUCCCCCCGGCAGCCCGGGUUCCUAUAGUUCUCCAACCCCGCCGCUGGCAGAGCCCCUCUCCUCCUGCGCGGGUCCCUGAUUCCGGAAACCCCCAAGAUCCGCAGGUCUGCCCAGGAACCACUUCCCCAAGCCCUCGCAGGACGCGCAGGCUCCGCUGGCCGUGGGAGAAGAGGUUUAAAAGGAAGAAAGGGCCUUGGAGGGGGCCUCUAUGGCGGGGGGGAGGGGGACUGACCUGGGCGCCCCUUUCUCUCACGCCUCACCUUCUUUAUAAAUAAGGACAGACAGUGCAGGAGGAUACGAUGGAGGGAAACAGGCCGCCACAGACUGGGAAAGCAGAAUCUGACACGGAAGCGCGCUCGGAACAGACACCGGCAAAGUUAAAACGAGGCUCUGAGCGGCUUUAUCAGCUUCAGCUAAAUGCGAACAACGCGGAAGUGGCGAUCAGGCGCUCCGGGCCUGGCGGGGCCCCCAGGACGCAUCUUUGGGGGUUCGAAUCCCGGGCGUGACCCCGGGCAGGUCACGUCACCCUGUUUGCCUCAGUUUCCUCAUCUGUAAAGUGACCUGCAGGAAGACUCCGCAUGGAGUCACGGAGUCAGAGGCGCCUGAGAUGCCUGAACCCCAACCAAGGAGAACCGGAGAAAACCUGCAGGCGGCUGGAGAGGAAGGGGAGAGAAGGGCGGGGCUCACACGUACCUGGGGAGGGCGGGGAACGGCCGGGGCAGGCUGGGAGCAGCUCCGCCUCCCGAGAAUGACAGGGGAGCCAUAGGAGGGUGGAGAACGACGCGACGCACCCAGGGGCCUCCCCCGGGCAUCCUGGGCAGAAGGGGGAGGGGAGAAGCGAUAGAAGGGCGGGGCGGGGCCUGUUCCCUCCCCCCGCGAUAACCAAUAGGAACGCGCGCUGACGAAAGAGGCUGGACUUUACCCCCUUUUGCCUCCUGGGCCCCCAGUUCACUCGGACCCUCACGUGGGUGGGGUUCGAUCCUCCCCUUGAGGAGAGGACGGAGCCAAACCAAGGCGGCUGCGAGCUCUAAUGAGAGAACGUAGGAGGGGGCGGAAGUGACACAACCGAUCCCCGGACCGAGCCGGGGAAGACUCGCUUGGGAAGGCAAAGCCCUCUGGGAAGGGUAGUUCUUGGGCAGGAUAGACACGCGCGCCUGCGCAUUUGCACCUUCACCACCACUGCUUCCUAAUGGGAUGUGGCUCUUAAACUCCCUGUGCUGAAAAGUAGACUCAUUCCCUUGGCCCCCAGACCCCGCCCCAGCGGCCUUUCCUGGGAGCCCCCGGAACCCUCCCUCUGCCCACCCCCUCCCCCGUGGAUUCCACCUGGGCCGCCUCGUGCCCCUGCGUUGGUGCAGUUGCUGCGGGUGCCUCAGCGCAGGGAUGGAGCGGCUGGCCCCGACUAGCUGGGGGACGCUGGUGGCCGAGCCUCCAGCCUCCCGGCCAAGGACGACCCUCCGCGGGCUCGGCCGCACAACAAGGCGGGGCUCUCUCCUGGCGCCACUAGAGUCAUUUUCCUAAGGCCCGUCUCUUCCCCCUCAGUAGACGCCAGUGGCUCCGUAUCAUUUCUCUGGCUGGCGCCGAAACCCAUCGGACCCGCCUUGCCACAAGCCCCUCGGGGUCUCUGCUGCCAGGACCUUCUCCCUGGCACCCUCCAUCCUGGGAAGCUCCGGCGGCUUCCCCCGAAUCCCACCUCAAACGUCUCUCCGGGAAACUUCCCCACGCCCCCAAGCCUAGGACCCUCUCCUGUUCUUCCUAUAAUCCCUGGGUAUGGCUUGCUGUGGAGAAAGGGAGAUUUGGGCCAGAAAGGUGGCCCCGUGGAAGUGCACAGUGCAGGGAGCCAGCCUCCGGGGGGCCCAUUUCGCGGAAGGAGAGGGAGGGAGGGAGGGAGGGGCUGGGGCGUCCGGCGCAGGAUUCUUCCCUGGUCUGGAGGAGCCUGAAUAAAAGAAUGCUGGAUCCUUUAGGGAGGAAGCUCCACUUGACAAAUGGAGGACCGUGGUGGGAGUCCAACCAGGAGACAGAAAGGGGUGUCCCGGAAGGUGCUAUAGAAGUAAGAUUGUCAGGCCUGAAGGGGAAGGGGAGCCAGCAGGCCCAAGCGCGAAGAUGAGGGCCCUGAAUGGCAUCCCCAAAGUGGAGAAAAAAGGACAUCCAGGAUAUGCAGGGCUUAGGGUUAGGGUUAAUGCCUAAGUCCACUGAGGAUGUGCAACAUAGAGAUGAGAAUCAAAUCCAUGGGAACCCGUAGCAACCCAGUCUAGCAGAGAAGAGGUCCAGGACGGAGCCCUGGGAGCCGCCCGGGUUAGCAGGGUAAUCCGGAGGAGGAUCAAGAAAAUGAGACUUGGAAGGAGAAGCAGAGUCGGGAGGGGAACCAGGAGAGAGCAGCGGACAGAUAGAAACGUGGCUGAGUGAGUGUCCAAGGAGGAUGAGAAAAGGCCUCCACAUGUGAGGAUGACGGGUCCUUGGUGGCCGAGUUUGUCCUGUGUUCUCAGAGGACCAAAAGGACGUCGCUAUCUUAGAGUCAAGUUAGAGUGUGUCUGACUAUGGUUGAUCAGACUUAUGGGCUUGGAAUGUUCGAACGUUUCAGGCACCCCACCUUGGGGGUGGCUUCUCUAAAUCCGGACGUUCUGUAAUUCUUUGGAGCAAGUGGGGUUCUGCUCAGUCCCGGCCCAGCCCCUUCUCUGCGAGGGCAGAUCGGGCGGGCAGUCAGUCCUGCGCCAGCCUCUCCCACGUCCCAGGGUUCUCCCAAAUGAAGCCCACAGAGUGUCCUUGAAUUGCUUGCCCGGGUGAGUUCUCCAGCCCAGGGGCUGUGCUCACUGCCGCAGCGUGGGAGUUCUCGGCGGUUUAGCUCACGGACCUCGGGGUCUGGCAGCUUUACCUGCCAGGGGAUCUUCAGACUCUUGCUAAGACAAUUCAAAUGGAAGCGACGGCACAGGUGAACGCUUCAGGCUUCACAAGCGUAGGCCAGUGAGGUCGCCCCGAGGCUCCGGAGCCCUUGGUCGUCAGCCUCAUGCUUCUGCUCUCCUGGACUUUCCCUCGGAGCCCCCCAGACACUGAGCUGGCGACUCGUGCAUCAACCUCCAGCCACGUGCACAUCCCCGGAUCGCAUCCCUAAGUGAACCGAUGCACAGCUCUCGCCCCGUGCUCUCACUGAUGGUUCCCGGACGGCUGGGGUGGCCCUGGCUGACGGAGAACCGUUGUCUUGGUGUUGAUUGUUAGGCCCAAAUUAGCACAAGCGGCAGAGACUCAGUCCGCACUUUGCCGAGUGUGUCUCUGCUUCAGAGGCCGCAGUGGUGACCGACACACGGGGCUUUUCCCAGCUCAUUUCUAAACUUCAGACUUUCAGCGCAGGGUUCUGCUGAGCUCUGGGGUGUUAAGCUGGCCAAACUGGGCCAGAACUGAGAAAGUUCUGGUCCCGAGCCUCUGGGACCGUGCUUGGUCCUCACGACUAGGGCCUCUGCAGCCUCAGACUCCACUUCCCUGUUGGGUUCCUUCUCCCAGGCUGUCCUUUAGGCCUGAAAUGCCCUCCCUCAUUUUCGCCUUUUGCUUUCUCUGGCUUCCUUCAGGUUGCAGAUAAAUUCUACCUUUUACAGGAAAUCUUUGUUAGCUCCCAUUUAUCCUGCCAGGCUUCUUUGUACCUGCUACUGUCUCCUCCCCCAUUAGAAUGCGAUUUCCUCCAGCGAAGGGGCUGGCUUUCACCUUCCAUUUGUAUCCCUGGUGCUUAAGCCAGUAUCUGACACAUAGUUGGCACUGAACAAAUGCUAACUAUAUUUGUUGGUAAAUAAAGGAAGAUGAGAGAGGCAGAAUUCAUAUCUGAAAAUAAAACGGAAUGUUUAAAAAUCGAUCAAGAAAAAACACUGGUGAAUAACUAAGAAAAAAGAGCAUAGAAAAAGUGAAAGGUCCUCUAAGGGGAUGCUGGGGACCUUGGCCACAAGGUGUAGGCUGUGUUGGGAGCAGGAUCUACUUUGUGCAGAUUGGGCGGGUUUCUCCUUAAGGAGAGGGAUGCCAUUCUGAGAAUUAUCAUUGGUUUGGCUUUCUCGAUGCCUGGCUUUAUUUAGCCAAACUGCCCCGGAAGGCUGCCAUUCUGACUCGGAGAUAAACAAUGUUACAUGAAACCCUAUCGAAGUUUUCACUGCAUUUUAUGCGCUGCAAGUUUAUAAUUCCAAGCCUGAAUCAUUGCACUGGUCUAAGCGAGUUAAUUAGGUAAAAAUAGUAAUAAGGGGAGGAAAUUGCUUUCCUUUCGCUUUGAAUUAAGGAAAUCUUCCCUAAAAAUUGCUACUGAGAAAUGGAACCGAACGACUAUGGACAGGAGGCUCUCAAGCAAAAGCUGGAUGACUACUUGUUGAAGAUGACAGAGAAUCUUGUGCAGGCUCUAAACUUCUCGAGGACAGGAGCUGCCUUUUGCCUCCCAGCCCGGGGCCUGGCUCGGACGACUGCACGCUCCAGGAGGCGGGCCUGCACCUGUGCUUUCUCUCCCUGACCCAGGGGCUGAGCCACACUAAGGGGACAUAUGGCAGAUGGAAACAGUGGAACUCACAGGACAGAGGAGGUCCGGGUGGUGGCGCUGGUGGAGCAGCCUUGAAAGUCUGAGAACUGCUCUGGGGGUCAAUCCCUCAUCCCAACGAGGAGGGCAGAGCCCACCCUGCCCGAGCAUUAGUGCUACCCCUGCUUGGAGUGAAUGAAGAACAGAUCAGAUGACCUGGAAAGCUGUAACCCAGGAAAUCUGCACUGCUGAACUUGGGCCCAAGAAUAUGCAAAGUGGGAGCAGCCAGGGCCCAAGAAGUGUCAGAUCAGACCCCUCACUCAGGGAAGGAGAGAUCCAUAGAAAGAAUAGGCCUGUACCCACAAGAAUUAGUACCCUCACUCUCCCCCCGCCCCAAUCCUCUAGUCUAGGAAGGCCUCGAGUCUCUUAUUCCCUUCCCACUGGCUUUCAUGGAAAUCAGCAGCUGGGGCCCUGAGCCUCUAGGAGGGCUAUUGAUAAAGUGGGGACUGAGCAAAGGGGGUAAGGGACACUAGUCUGGAGGGCCUGGGCUUGGAGAGGCUAGUUUGGGGCCAAUAUUCACCCCCGAGGCCUUGGAAAAUAAGAAUCCUCUCAGUUGGUUUCCAAUUUCCAUGAAGUGCCGCCCCCAUCCCCCACUCCCAGUCCCCACAAAGGCAAAGUAAGCUCCACAUGGUCACAAAAUACAGGCCCAAGGGCGGGUUUCAGAGAUUGGGGCACGGUGGGGCCAGCCGAAACCUGAAUUUAAACUGGGAUUACACAUUAGGGGUUUGGGAGCCUAGUUGUUAAUCAUGCUUAAUGUAGUUUUUAAAUCUACAUUUUCAUGUUGAAUUUUUAAAGUCAUCACAAAGUUCAUGAUGGAAAAUUGAUUUUGUAAAACUAGAUUUAUCAAAAGAUACAAUAAAGAUAUCUUAACCGGAAAUUUAAUAAAGAUUUAUUAAACACCUACUAUGCACUGAGCUGCUGCGAAUCCCAGGGAAAAGAGAAAAUUCCUGCCUCCUUGGGGUCCACAUUAAGCAAGCACAGCAGAGUAUCUUUUUCACAACCUAAUCAACACAUUUAUCUUAAACCAUUCGUCACUUUAAUGGAUGUAAGGUGGCUCCAAGUGGCAUUUUUGGAUGAGAGGAAUGCAUGAUCCCAUCCUUGGAAAUCUCCAUUUUCUUAUUUUAGUUGGGACAUUUUUAUAGCAGUUGGCCGAAGAACAAAGCUCCCCUGAAGAGAACUACCUUGAGUUCUAAAUCGAUAAGACAGUGCUGGAGUUCCGGGAGCUGAUGGCCAGGACAACUCUGCCAGAGGGCUUGGGGGCAGCCAGGCUACAGCCAGGAGCCCAUGGAGGCCUCCAGCUGAGAUCAGAGCCUUGGGAACUCUCCCUGGUGCUGAAAGCCCCAGGCUUCUCUUAUCCCAGGCCACCAGCUGAAGGCCCUCGAUGCAAUAAAAGUGGGAUCACUGACUCCAAGCAGCAUUUCCUUAUUGCUGACUGCGUGCAGAGCACGCCAGAUGCUGGGAGGGAGAGAAAGGGGGGAGGAGACGGGAAAAAGGAAAAGGUUCCCUGUGCUCAGGUUCUGGAGAAGAGACUCCAGUGGUUCAAUGGCUAACUGCUCUAUGGAAUGUCGUUGGCACAUAGGGGGCACUUAGCAAAUGACUGACCCUCCCUGGAGGAAGGGACCCUGGGAAAAAGGCUCCUUUGCCUUCUCUGUGAUCCAUAGGCCCUCAGUGACUUCUUUCCAGUCUGCCGUCCCUGUCCAGUCUGCUUGAAAGAAUGAGAGCGAGAAGCUCACUGCGGGCUGGGGCCCUGAGACUAACAAGCAGAGUGGCCAAAGGUUGGCAUUCCGGGUCUGGCUCCCACAUACAGACACAAGAUGUAAAAAACACAAAUGUCUUUCCUAGCUGGCUCAUGUCUAACCAGAAAUGGAGAGCCUCCUAUGCGCCAGAGUCACAUGGGGCAACAGACAGCCAGGAGGGCCAGGCUGGGCGGCCAUGUGCAGCUAACUUAAUUUCCUGAUGUUCCAGUCAAGCCUGUAACGACCUAAAAUCCACAGGAGUUGAAGACUAGCUGGGAGCUUCCUUCAUCUCAGAACAAUGGAGACUCUCUAUGGGGACAAAACUGCAUGUCUGGGUCACCGAAAUGUGAUCGGUUCUGGAGACCCAAGGAACUGCACUCUUGGGGGUGGGCUGGGACAUGUCACUUGUACAAAUACAUGAUGGCUGCUGAGCUGCAGCAGCAAAGGCGGGAGGGCAAAGGGCUUUACUCAGGGCAAAGGGCCCUAGGAGGAAGGGCCCCAUUUACAGAUGAAAAUACUGAAGAAGAGAUGCUGGUCUGGGGUCUGUGGAGGGAGAGCCUGCCUCCUGUGGAGCACCAAGCAGGGAGAGGAGUGAGCAGGCCGGCUUGUAAGACAAGAAAGCUGCCAGAGACUGUCCAGGGCUUUGCACUUUACCCUAGAAGCAACGGGGAACCACUGAAGGCUCUUCAGUCACUGUCCAGUCUGCAGCCACCUCAGUCUCACCCUGCCCUGACUAUCUCCACACAGCAAAGGGCCCCCUGCUGUGCCCCUGUUGGGGGUCAGAAUCCAAUCAGAUGCAUUUCCUACCUAAGAGAGACCCCAUCCUUCCACAGCCCCGGCUCACUCUGCAUCCCUGCAUAGAAUAACUCAGGUAAUUCUGCACCAAUGUGUGGCAAGCAAUAGGGAGAACCUACCAUCACCUGGGUCCCGAGGGACCAUCUCUGAGAGAGAGUGGGUGACCUGGGGAAACUGGGCGGAAACGGCUUUCUCAAGAUGUUCGGUAGCAAGGUGGAGGAAAGGGAAGGAGGCCGAGGAUAGACCUUCAAAUACAUUUGACAAGGGAGCAGAUUUGUAACUUGUAGGAUGGAAACUCCCUUCCCAGCUCUGCCCAGUCCCAGUAUGGCCUUUGUCCUUUGGAAGCCCUCAUCUUCUCUCUAGUCACUCACUUGCCUUUUGAAAUCUGGCUUCGGGUACCUCCGUUUUAUGGAAACUCCUCUCUGGAACACAGCCAUUUGUUCUUGCUGGACCUAAUGCCUCCCUUCCCCCAGGGUUCUCCCCUCUCAGCUGGGCCCUCAUAUCUUAAUUUACCAGGAAAUCUAGGUCAUCUCCCAUGGCCCUGACCAAUCCCUGUGCCCUCUUUAGUUCUCUUUGUUCUCCAAGCCCUGCCCCACCCCAGCUUACUCAUCAUCUCAUUGCUCCCCAUCCUGGCUCCAAUCCCUCCCUAUCUGCUGUUUCCUUCUCUCUUGCCUAGAAACAAGUCUGCUCCCCAUCGGGAGAUGACCCUCACCAAGGCCUUGAAAUCACCACCUGUCCCGGGUGUCUCCCCUUGCUUUCCCCGAUGCUUAAACCUCCUGCCAUCUUGCUUCUGACCUCCUCACGCAGUAGCAACACCUCUGUUCAAGGUUAUCUGUGAUAACAAUAACCAAACCCAAUGUCUUUUCCUCAGUCUCCAUCCUUGACCUCUCUGAUAGUGCGGAGACUCUGUUGUUCUUGUGGCUCUCCCUCCUCCCAUCUGUCUCCUUGGCUGGGCCUCCUCGAUGUCCCAUCCUAGAUGUGUCUAUCCUCGGCUCUCUCCCCCCUACCUGGUCCCUCAUAUGAUCACCUCAGUCUCUUUCGUGAGCCCCAGCCCUGCGUCAUUGACUUGGAUCUCAAACUCAUCAGGAUGUCUCUGUCACUCACAGUCAACAAUGCCUACUAAGUGUCAGCUAUGGAUACAAAGAAAGGCACAGACCCAGCUCUCAAGGAGCUCACAGUCUAAGGAGGAUAACAACCUGCAAACAGCUAUGUACAAACAAGGAAUGUACACGAUAAAUCGGAAGUCAGCAGCAGAGGCGUCCUGGGUCCACCAUUCUUUCAGUCGCCCAGUCCACAAUUUUGGUAUAUACUCCACUCUACUCCUUUUCUGCACACCCCAGCAACCCAAUCACUUGUCAAAUCAUCAUUGCUAUCUCUGAGAACAAGUUCUAGUCAAGAAAAUGUUACUAGAGUGUGCAAAUUACUUGGGACAAAAUAAGGCAAUUAAGUUUAUUGACAUAUAUAGUAUAAACCUUUACAAAGUUUUACAUCUUAAGUCAUCUUAAUAUGCAAUAUCUCAUGGCCAUAAUUGCUUGCUCUAAAUCAUUUCCAUAUCUCGUUGAUGAGAUUUUAAACAUUCUUUAAGUCUUCAUCAGAAAAUCAUGUUGUUUUUUUUUUAAAUCCCAUUGCAUUUUAAAUAUACUUUUUUUUUUUUUUUGGCUGAGGCAAUUGGGGUUAAAUGACUUGCCCAAGGAUCACACAGCUAGGAAGUGUUAAAAUGUCUGAGGCCAGAUUUGAACUCAGGUCUUCCUGACUUUAGGGCUGGUGCUCUAUCCACUGCACUUAAAUAUACUUUUGAAGAAUGUCUUAAUUCUAGCAAUCAGAUUUCCAGGCCACUAAAAUAUGCUUAUUAUCUUCAUCUCUUGGAUGACUUUGCGCUAUAAUACUAUGUUGCUUUUUCUGUUAGGAAUUUCUUCCAGAAUUCUGCUUUUCAGGAUAGCAACCUAUUCAUCAACAUUCCUCAUUCCUUUCAUCUGCAAAAGACUUCUGGGUCCAUGAAGAGUUAAAAAAAAAUCCCAAAGAUAUUUUCAGCUAUUUAGAUGUUCUGAAGAUACCCAGAGUCUCCGAGAGUUUUUAUGACAAAAGUUGGGUUUAACUUUGCAUGAAAACGUGAGCUGUGUUUCUUUUGUAAAAAUCACCUUUUUGGAACCCUCAGUUCUCUAGUCUUCGCAACGUCUCCCAAGCCGUAGUUGACAGUUUCGGUUUUCACAUUUUUGCUAGCUUUUUUGCUGUUGUUGCAGCAGCAAGAAGCCCUUCCGUGGAGGAAUCAGAGCUCCUUCAGCUAUCAGCUCACUCUGCUUGUUAUGAAUUCACGAGCUUCAUGUGAUCGAUCCUAUUCAUUGUGCACUUGAACGAGUGCGGAAAUGCUUCAAUUUCCCCAAACACCUUCUGCCACGUCAUGAAGAGCCACCAAAGUAUCUCGUUUAAAAGCUCCAAGUGUCGCACACUUUUUGGAGAUCAUAUCCAUUCUUCAAAACCACAACAUGAAACACAACAGGAGAGCAAUAAAUUUGUAUAGAAUAUGAAACUCAGCCUUCACGCAAGAACUCCCUAAGAGGAAAGAAGGCAGCUCAAUCCAGUUCCUCUGGACAAGAUCAUUAACCACGACACGGCCUCGAGUCAGACGCAGCACAGAAGUGCGAUCAUGAGUAAUUCGUAUACUACCGAAGCUUUGACAAGCAAUAGAGAUUCUAGAACCUCACCAGCCCCAGUGCUACAGAGAGCGUUAGAAGCCCUGAGAACUGAGCAAGAAGCCUCGGGAGGGUCAGAGCAUGUUCUCUGUAGUGCACUCAGAUGGAAUUUUGCGCCACACUUGGGAUGUGAAUACCAGGCUCACAAUCACCGGCUGGUACAGGGGGACGCAGGCUGGAGCUGGGGUCUCCACAGAAAAACAGAAAUAAUAAUGUACCUACCUCAUAAAGUCACUGUAAGGCUCAAAUGGGUCAAGUAUCCUAAAGCGCUUUGUAAACCUGACAACGCUACAGAAUUAGUGAUUUGGGGGAGUCUCCGAAGCGAGGGGGAAUGCAAGCCCUCACAGCCUGUGUAUUCGUUAGCUAAAAGGCGUUAAGAACAACUGGAGAGAAAGCCUGCUACCCACUAGCCACGCUACUCGCUCUGAAGAAACCCCGCAAUGACAAAGGUUCCCUGGGGAUCAUGCUUGGCAACCCCGACAAUGGAAUCUCGGUGCUUCAUUCCACUGUUAUUAAAAAGAGUGAGUGGCGAGCAGAGCAGCUGCACUGGAGAGGCCUGGGAAGGCAGCCUGACCCACCGUUCCGAGGUGGGAGUCCACAGCCAUUAAACACUGCUUAUCUUUUCUGACUUUUUCUAUGUAGCAAUCACUUGUUUUGGGUUCUUUUUUUUUUU